RNAcentral lists this ribosomal RNA (460 nucleotides) under uncultured bacterium. RNAcentral's name for it is "partial 16S ribosomal RNA". It matches the Rfam family "Bacterial small subunit ribosomal RNA", at positions 338 to 795 of the family's 1533-position model. The record is from RNAcentral.
CCUACGGGAGGCAGCAGUGAGGAAUAUUGGUCAAUGGACGAGAGUCUGAACCAGCCAAGCAGCGUGAAGGAUGAAGGCGCUAUGGGUUGUAAACUUCUUUUAUAUGGGAAUAAAAUGUUCCACGUGUGGGAUUUUGUAUGUACCAUAUGAAUAAGGAUCGGCUAACUCCGUGCCAGCAGCCGCGGUAAUACGGAGGAUCCGAGCGUUAUCCGGAUUUAUUGGGUUUAAAGGGUGCGUAGGUGGAUUGUUAAGUCAGUUGUGAAAGGUUGCGGCUCAACCGUAAAAUUGCAGUUGAAACUGGUAGUCUUGAGUACAGGAGAGGUGGGCGGAAUGCGUGGUGUAGCGGUGAAAUGCUUAGAUAUCACGAAGAACUCCGAUUGCGAAGGCAGUUCACUGGACUGCAACUGACACUGAGGCUCGAAAGUGUGGGUAUCAAACAGGAUUAGAUACCCCAGUAGUC